AUUAGUUGAAAUUUAUAUUGAUUUGAUUGAUACCGAUCUCAUCUGAAUCCUAUCUGAAUCCCUACAGUUGUGUGUUAUUGAAAAUUACGAAAAUACCAUUUAGAACAAUUCAGAGUACAUUCGUGCAAAACAUAUUGUUCGGUCAUGCUUUCACUAAGUUCUUAAAAUGCUUAUUUGACUUUACAUUUUUGUACGAAUGCACGUAAUGUAAUGCUGCAUAACUUUUGUUAACAAUACUCUCCUACAAGUAUGCAAUUUUCUAUUUUCAGAUGUCACUGUUUCAUGGUACAUCAUGUCGGCUCACGUCUGCCAGUUGAUUGCUUGACCUUUAAAAUUUGCCAUAAAACAUGUACCUAUCUACAGUACAGUACGUGGCUAGUUACACCAAAAACCAUUCCGCAAGACACAAAGGCAGCAACGCAAAGUCAACGCCAAACUUACACUAGCCAACUAGUCACCAAAAACGCACUGAGCACAGGCCAGAACAUACAAACAAACAAACAAAAACCCGCUAAACCUAUUGGCAAUAAAUUACUCAACGCUCGAUUUCACCCAGUCGUCAGGGAGGGGGGUCUGUCAGAAGAUUGUUUUACAAGCGACAUCAACAACUUGAGCAAUAAACAUUUUACAGCACCGUCGUCCACGGCGGGUAUUCCAAUUCGCGAGGCCUUGUCCCACUACUCGAAACGGUCGUCACCGUGCCCGGUCUGCAAUGGAGUGUGCCCUCGGUAUGGUUUAUUUACUAUUAUCUAUUACCUUUUUUGUAUUUGUUUGUACCGGGAGAGGAUUUUUUUUUAUUAUAGAAUCAUGUGUUUCUGCUCAAAACUAACACGAUCGCUCCGCUUACUUGCAUCGUAAAACGUUUGCCGCAAAGCAAAUUCAAUUCAGCAUUCAGGUGGAUGUGUUUGCGAAUGACAAAGAGCGAACUUCGGUGGAACAUAAAACGUGAAAAACUAAAUCUUCAGAUUAAUUUCAAUAAACAACUGAGUAUAAUAAUUUUAGUUUUCGAAGUUCGUAACCCCUCCUAACAACUCUUAACAGCAUAACAAACAGCAUUAAAAUUAUACAUUCGCUGACCAUCCGGUGUCUUGCUGCAGGUGCGGUCCAUCUCACAGGAGUCACUUGUCACUUCUGUUCGCUUCUUUCCGACGCUCUACAGGUCGGAGUAGCAUGGGGCGCCACGCGUAACUCCAGCGAGCGCAUCCGCAACGGACCGACACCCAAACCCAAGCCCACAAAGUUGGCGAAUGGCAGGGGCAAUAAAAAAAAGGCAUCAUUACGAAGUGAUUUAUCGGUCCCGAAUGAGUUAUUAAUGAGGAAAAUUGAUUUAUGGCUAGACUGUGUUACGAGACAUUCUCGCGCACCCGCGAUAUCAACUUUUGGCCGAACGCUUCGGUCCCUUCGAUGUACAUACUUUUUGGUUUUUUGGUAUUUUUUCUGUUUUUUUUUUUUUGUUUUUGUUUUUGGCAUACCCACAAUGCAAACACACAGGACGCGCGGGACAGGGUGCAGUAAAUUUAUUGUCAAUCACAAUGCGCCGGCAAUGGUGACUAACACACAGACACGAACUAAUCAUAAAAACGGACCGGUUUUGAUGGCAAAAGUCCGACCGUUCGCCCGGCCCAAAACCGAACGCGCCUAAAUGUAUGCAUCCUGCAUCGGAUCCACAGCUUGAUCGGGUGCGCUUGUAUGUGUAUGUGUGUGCCGUGGAGGUUGUUGGGUGACAGAAACAAGGUUACCGUUUUUAGGCAUGGAUGAAUUUAAAUAAUUCUCGCUCUACACCAGCGUCCCGGGGGCGGAGCGCAAGCAACUGUCAACAGCGCGAACUUAUGGGCAAAUAAUCGCCUGCCCCGGUUGUGGAGGAUGUGGAUAAAAAUGGUGAAACUAAACGCUGCCAAUAAAUAUAUGGGACAUUGCGAUAUUAAAACGCCAUUGGUGGCUUCGAUCGGUUGGUUGUACCAUCGUUAAGCUUAUGUUGUUUGUGCGGACAGGGCAAUCAAUGCUAUCAGACUAUUGAAUGCCACCGUAUCGGAGGCACAGCGGUGACGAAUGCUGACAACCGUAAGCUCUAGGGAUCAGCAGAACAACCAAACAAUAACGAAUGCAACACACGCCCUUGUUAGACUAACCUCGAAUAAGAUCGACGAAGAAGCUCAACUCACAGCACAGUGUGGUCACUAUUGCAGCUUCGUUAUCUACUUUCGAGAUACGGGAAGGUUCAAGCUAUCGAGAAGUGCACAACACUUGACAGCGGUGUUUGUGUGUGUGAUCCACCCUGCCACAUGUAGGCAUGUAAGGAGAUAAUAGGUCCAUCCAUCAGGGUCUCUGAUCUCUCUUCAACUGUCGAAUCCAUCAGGGUGGGAAGCCGAAGCGUACUUCAACUGAUUGUUUAACCAUAUUUAACAUAAACACCCCCAACGAAGUAAAACGGCAGAUAAUAAACGGCCCAAUAGUCUAUUAGAUCAGGGGUCCCCAAACUUUUCAGUUCGCGGGCCGCAUUGCUUCACAUAUAAUGGUGUUGAGCGCCAUUUUUCCGUUGCCUGUAUCUAAUGCGAACAUUUCAAUUUCGUCUUUAUAAAAAAAAUACUAAAAUAAUAUAUAAACUCCUAUAGCUUUCUAUUAUUAAAGCUUGGUCUACGUCUCUAAAAAGCAACAAUUACGUUUUCUUUAAAAAUAGUCACAAUUAACUAUUUCUUUUAACCUUCACAAAGUUGCCAAGUGCCGCAUAAUAGGCUUUUGAGGGCCGCUUGUGGCCCGCGGGCCGUAGUUUGGAGACCUCUGUAUUAGAUAAGUGUGCCGGCUCCUACAACACCGAACGGAGCCCAAGAUGCUCGGUCCCUAGUUGCAGCCUCUCAUCCAUGUAGAGACACCCGAUCUCCGGCAGGUCCCUCUUCACCUGAUCCAGCCAUCAUGUUCGCUGUGCUCCCCUGCGCCUUAUGCCGAACUGGGAAUCGCUGUCGAACUUCUUCUUGGAGGGGUAUGAACCCGGCAUCCUCAUAACAUGCCCCAGCCCCAGCGUAUCCUGCCAGCCUUCGCCACCAUCAGGAUGCUCGGUUCGCCGUAUAGCUCAGCAAGAUCGUGGUCCAUGCUUCUCCUCCAAACUCCAUGUUCGAACUCACAAAAUGUUUGCAUCCUUCGCUCGAAUGGUCCAAGGCUCACGUUCGUAGAGUUCACCACCGGGCGAAUUAAUGUGUGAUAUGUCUCACAUUUCGUGCAGGUUCGAAGUCUUCUGGAUCUCAGCAGUCGGUAAAGCCCAUAGUAUGCACUAGUGAUGGGAAAAAUGAAGUUUUAGUAGAAAUCGAUUCCGGCUAGCUCCGAAGAUUUCUGGAAUCGAUUUCGGGUAGUAGGUCUGGGAUCAGUUUCCAGAAUCGGCUCCAGAAUCGGAAUCGGCUCCGGAAUCGGAUUCGGUUUCAGAUUCGGAAUUGGCUUCAAGAUCGAAGUCGGUUUCGGCAUAUACAUAAGAAUAGGUAUUUGAAUACAAUGCGUGCGAACAGACAGCGUCCACGGGCCUGUCCACGCCCGAAUGCAGAGCUGAUGGCAUACGAUUCUAUCUUCACCAUUAACAUGAGAGGGACAGAGCUUAUACCCCGAACGUACCCGAAAGGUAUGCAUGCUUCACUCAUCAGGAUCUAAAGGCAAGGACAAGGCAAAAGAGACAAAGAAAAAUUUCCUCACGGCUACAAAUGUCCUUUUGAUGCGUUGUCACAGCGGCAUACGGCAGGUAAGCAGUACAAAUGCUGCUACCUGAUACGCACACAUGAUUAUCGAACACAACUAUUCGGUUCGGCUCGGUAAACUUCACGAGGACACCGGAACAAAAGGGCGCAGACUUUUUCAUGAUUUUGUAUGACUUCGGCUGUUUUGGACCUCGCGUGUAGGCGCAGACAAUGAUGCUACGUAUUGAUAGCCGCAAAUAAUCCAAAUUUACUUGUGUACGAUACAUUCUCAUGGAGAUUCCCAGACUGAUUUCGCCUCUGAAACUUCUUAUUUCAAUUCAAGAACUGAUUCUCAUUCUGGAGUAAAUUCUGUUCCCGUAACCGAAUCAAAUUCCGAUUCCGGGGCCGAUUCUGAUUCCGGAGCCAACUCCGGAAUCGAUUCCAGCAUCGGAAUCGACUCCGGAAUUGAUUGUGAACACGGAAUCGGAAUCGGGUAGGUCCGAUUCCGAGUUCCCGCCACUGGUAUGCGUCUCCGGAAUUCGCUCUAGAUGUCGUUGUCCCAAGAUAGCAGAACUCUUCUACCACCUGGAGAUUGUCGUCGUCAAUAUAUUGCCUCCCAGUUAGGCCCUGACUGAGCCUCCGGCAAGCAGGUACGACGACGAAAACGAAGCAUCGAUUCUCAGUCCAAUUCUUGCUGCUGGAGCAAACUGGAUGCUGGAUGUGCAUUUCUUGUUCGAUAAUAAAUGGAACAAACAACACGAAAAUAUGAUUGUGGAAAGCGAUUGCUUUAUUGAAAAUUCUACUCUCGGAAUUGGUCACAUAAUUUUGUAAGUCCCUUUCCAAACUCUCUAACUCUCUCUCUCUCCCUUCCUUCCUCAGUUCCGUCCGGGACACAGUGCUUCCUGGUGAAUGAGCGGUGAGCUCAGUAGUUUCCUCUCGCUGGUCUAUUAUUAAUGUUCUCGUACGAAAAUUCAUUCCACCCAAGGUCACAUUCUCUCACUACAUCAGUACACAGUGGACAAACGGCUGUAACAGUUUUAAUUUUUAUAUCGUUUGAUU
This is a long non-coding RNA of Anopheles coluzzii, 4715 nucleotides long. RefSeq lists it as uncharacterized. The record is from RefSeq and is a predicted model, not a curated record. The transcript is spliced from 2 exons. NCBI's taxonomy places the organism in Eukaryota, Metazoa, Arthropoda, Insecta, Diptera, Culicidae.